Molecule: ribosomal RNA, 480 nt
Filed under: uncultured bacterium
Lineage: Bacteria
Description: partial 16S ribosomal RNA
Rfam family: Bacterial small subunit ribosomal RNA
Source: RNAcentral
GAUGAACGCUCGCGGCAGGCCUAACACAUGCAAGUCGAGGGAGAGGUUACCUUCGGGUAACCAAAACCGGCGCACGGGUGCGUAACGCGUAUACAAUCUGCCUUUCACAUAGGGAUAGCCCGAAGAAAUUUGGAUUAAUACCUAAUGGUAUAUAAGAGCGGCAUCGUUUUUAUAUUAAAGCUACGGUGGUGAAAGAUGAGUAUGCGUUCUAUUAGCUAGUUGGAGAGGUAACGGCUCCCCAAGGCGACGAUAGAUAGGGGUUCUGAGAGGGAUGUCCCCCACACUGGUACUGAGAUACGGACCAGACUCCUACGGGAGGCAGCAGUGAGGAAUAUUGGACAAUGGUCGGAAGACUGAUCCAGCCAUGCCGCGUGCAGGAUGAAGGUCCUAUGGAUUGUAAACUGCUUUUGUAAGGGAAGAAUAAGGAGUACGUGUACUUUGAUGACGGUACCUUACGAAUAAGCAUCGGCUAACUCCGUG